RNAcentral lists this ribosomal RNA (253 nucleotides) under uncultured bacterium. RNAcentral describes it as "partial 16S ribosomal RNA". It matches the Rfam family "Bacterial small subunit ribosomal RNA", at positions 524 to 776 of the family's 1533-position model. The record is from RNAcentral.
UACAGAGGGGGCGAGCGUUGUUCGGAAUUACUGGGCGUAAAGGGCGCGUAGGCGGCCUUCUAAGUCGAACGUGAAAUCCCCGGGCUCAACCCGGGAACUGCGUCCGAUACUGGGAGGCUUGAAUCCGGGAGAGGGAUGUGGAAUUCCAGGUGUAGCGGUGAAAUGCGUAGAUAUCGAGAGGAACACCUGCGGCGAAGGCGGGUUGCUGGGCUGACACUGACGCUGAUGCGCGAAAGCCAGGGGAGCGAACGGG